Non-coding RNA from Eubacterium sp. An11, 149 nucleotides. Lineage: Bacteria; Bacillati; Bacillota; Clostridia; Eubacteriales; Eubacteriaceae. The record is from Rfam.
AACGGUCUUCAGGGCGGGGUGCAAGUCCCCACCGGCGGUAAUCACAGAGCAGCACCAUGUGCGGUGUCUGUGCGAGCCCGCGAGCCGAAAGGCAGGAUUCCGGUGAGAUUCCGGAGCCGACGGUAUAGUCCGGAUGGUAGAAGAUGUUU